This 270-nucleotide ribosomal RNA is filed under the name uncultured Eubacteriales bacterium. RNAcentral's name for it is "uncultured Clostridiales bacterium partial 16S ribosomal RNA". It matches the Rfam family "Bacterial small subunit ribosomal RNA", at positions 73 to 339 of the family's 1533-position model. Lineage: Bacteria; Bacillati; Bacillota; Clostridia; Eubacteriales. The record is from RNAcentral.
AAAGAGCUUGCUCUUUCCGGAAUUGAGUGGCAAACGGGUGAGUAACACGUAAACAACCUGCCUUUCAGAGGGGGACAACAGUUGGAAACGACUGCUAAUACCGCAUGACACAUAGGUGUCGCAUGGCACUUAUGUCAAAGAUUUAUCGCUGAAAGAUGGCCUCGCGUCUGAUUAGCUGGUUGGAGGGGUAACGGCCCACCAAGGCGACGAUCAGUAGCCGGUCUGAGAGGUUGAACGGCCACAUUGGGACUGAGAUACGGCCCAGACUCC